UGUAGCCAUUUGGCAUUUUUAGUCCUUGUACCCGUUAAUCAACAUAUUUUUGUACCUUUUUUUAAAUUGGUGGCUAUUUGGACUUUGCUUGAGUUCCUCACUUAUACUGUUCCAUAGUUUGACCCCGGUUGUAGUUAUACAGAAACCUUUUAAGGUUGUUCUUAUGUUUAAGAUUUUAAAGUUGUGAUUCCCCCUUACCUUAUAACCUCCCUCCCGAUUCCUAAAUAAGUUUUGGAUAUGUUCUGGUAGUUGUUGUGCUUUUGCCCUAUACAUGAUGAUUGCUGUUUGAUAAGAUACUAUAAGUAAUUUGUGUUGUUCGGUACCUUCUCUAAUAAUGUUGUUUAGGAGAGUCCAUAUCCCCUUAAUAUUAUUUUUGUUAUCCUCUAAUUUAUUCUUCUAAUAUUCUUUUUUACUUAAUCUUAUAAUAUUAGUUAAUU
Long non-coding RNA from Syngnathus acus (greater pipefish), 437 nucleotides. RefSeq lists it as uncharacterized. Lineage: Eukaryota; Metazoa; Chordata; Actinopteri; Syngnathiformes; Syngnathidae. The transcript has 3 exons. The record is from RefSeq and is a predicted model, not a curated record.